GACGAACGCUGGCGGCGUGCCUAAUACAUGCAAGUAGAACGCUGAAGGAGGAGCUUGCUUCUCUGGAUGAGUUGCGAACGGGUGAGUAACGCGUAGGUAACCUGCCUGGUAGCGGGGGAUAACUAUUGGAAACGAUAGCUAAUACCGCAUAACAGUAGAUGUUGCAUGACAUUUGCUUAAAAGGUGCAAUUGCAUCACUACCAGAUGGACCUGCGUUGUAUUAGCUAGUUGGUGGGGUAACGGCUCACCAAGGCGACGAUACAUAGCCGACCUGAGAGGGUGAUCGGCCACACUGGGACUGAGACACGGCCCAGACUCCUACGGGAGGCAGCAGUAGGGAAUCUUCGGCAAUGGACGGAAGUCUGACCGAGCAGCGCCGCGUGAGUGAAGAAGGUUUUCGGAUCGUAAAGCUCUGUUGUAAGAGAAGAACGAGUGUGAGAGUGGAAAGUUCACACUGUGACG
This 462-nucleotide ribosomal RNA is filed under the name Streptococcus mitis. RNAcentral's name for it is "bacterial SSU rRNA". It matches the Rfam family "Bacterial small subunit ribosomal RNA", at positions 28 to 474 of the family's 1533-position model. The record is from RNAcentral. Lineage: Bacteria; Bacillati; Bacillota; Bacilli; Lactobacillales; Streptococcaceae.